This is a long non-coding RNA of Esox lucius (northern pike), 756 nucleotides long. NCBI's taxonomy places the organism in Eukaryota, Metazoa, Chordata, Actinopteri, Esociformes, Esocidae. The record is from Ensembl.
GUGAAAUGGUGUAGUGAGAUGUGUAUUCAUUUUGACUGGACAUGGAGGAUAAAACACUAUUACAUAUCAUACUGGGGUUUAAACAAUAACCUGCCCAUCAGAUCACCACAUUACCAAGUAGAUGGAGCCAUUUGGGACACAACCAGUAUAAUAUCAGAAUUUUUAAGAUAUAGACUGUAGUCUAGUAAUUGAAGAUAGAGUGUAGUCUAGUAAUUGACCAUCGGAAUAAGGGCAUCAUAUGAAGAUACACUGUAGGUUAGUAAUUGACCAGCUGAAUGAGGACAUCAUAUGGAGAUAUACUGUAGGUUAGUAAUUGACCAGCUGAAUGAGGACAUCAUAUGAAGAUAGACUGUAGGUUAGUAAUUGACCAGCUGAAUAAGGACAUCAUAUGGAGAUAGACUGUAGGUUAGUAAUUGACCAGCUGAAUGAGGACAUCAUAUGGAGAUAGACUGUAGUCAUCCUGACUAGGCUACUUUUAGAAGGUGUCAAACACAGAACUCACACUUGAUACCAAAACAACUAGAAAUCUAAAAAUGUAUGUGAUGUCAUACCUGCGUUGUAUUCUCUCAAAUAUAAACCAAUCCGCUUUCAGGAUUCUAAGAAACCAGUUGAUGUGUACAGAGGACACACUACAUUAAAUUAUACAAGGAGAAUUGCAAGCCACAGUGAUGAUGAACGUUCUCAGAAUCAGCAAGAGCUUUAUUGCCAAGUUUCACAACAAAAAAGGAAUUUGUUCUAUACAAAAGAAAGAAAAAC